AUACAUUACUCUUAUGAAACAACAACCAACUUUUAAGAAAAUAUGGGAUUUUCUUGGUGUGUGUUACAUUUUCAGAAACAGAAAGGAAACAUAAACAUUUUCACAAAACAAAACUGCUUAUGAACUCACCAGCGUUAUGCUGAUUUUCAAAUUGCUUGUGUUCUCAGGUCAACGAUAGUACAGGUACCCGAAGACUUUCUUGGUUAAGGAUCGUGUGCGUGCAAGGCUCAUUCAUUUUGUUUAUAUCUAUAUUAUGUAUCACAACUGUAUAAACUGUGUCUUUUGAAACAAAUUGUAAAACUUUUAAUAUGUAAUGUAAUGUUUGUUUCACUUUACUUACUAUGUACAUUGGAUUUGAUACUCAACGUGGAGUCAACCCCGGAAAUGUUUCCGCCUUCGGUUUUCGGGGUGUGACAGAUUGGUAUCAGAGCCCUUGUUUAUAGUGAAUAAAGUAUACCAAACCUUACAUGGUAUAAAACUAUAAACACUAAAGGGCCUAAGUGCUCUGAAAUAAAAGUAUCUUCAGACUACAAGUAUUUUCAAAAAUAUACAAGUAUACCGAACCGUCGAGAUUCGUAUCUAUAAGUAGAACAAAACAUAAGUAAAUGGGUGUUGUGUAUUGCAGUUAAACCUGGGCAGUUAUGUAGUCGUGUCUAGGGUCAAUAUAGCCUGGCCAACUAUAUUCAUUCGAGACACGGCCAACAUAUGCCUGGGAGUGAUUGUGAUAUGCGGCAUGCCUAAAACUUACCCUAAUACCACAAACAUCGAGCUAGUAUAGUAGCGAAUAAUGAAAUACUAUGGGAGUAUUUCUUAAAUCAUUGUGCAUGUUUAGACCCCGAACAUUUUGUUAUCGAUAGUUUUCUUGCUUCAAUAACUCUUUCCUGCUUUACCGCUUAAUUGGAGUUAAUACCUGUCAUAUCUCUCGAUUCAGAGGACUUAUCAUCCUCUCUCUUUAUUGAUCUUAUUAGAUCAAGAUGCCUCCCAGAAGAAGAUCCAACUCCAACAACCCUCCACCACCUCCUCCUGAAAUCGAUCCCGUGUUAUUUCAAACAGCUGUUACCGCCGCGGUGGCAGCUGCCAUGUCCCAGCUAAAUACCGGUGGUUCAGGAGGUAGUAAUCAAAAUCAAGAUGGUAAUCAGGAACGCCGUAAGGAGGGUUCCUAUAAGGACUUCAUGAAUGCGAAGCCUUCUUUCUUCAAUAGCACUGGUGGUGUCAUUUCCCUAUCCCGAUGGUUCGAGAGAAUCGAAUCCAUCUUCGAAAUUUGUGCCUGUGAUGAGUCCGAUAAGGUCAAGUUCGCAGCUUGUACCUUCCUUGAUAAAGCAUUGACUUGGUGGAAUGGCCGAGUCAAAUCCUUAACUCUCCCCGUAGCCAAUGCCAUGGGCUGGGGAGACUAUGAAAGAACUCCUCCUUGUCGAAUAUUGUCCUAGAGGCGAAAUGCAGAAGCUAGAGCACGAGCUCUGGAACCUAAAGAUGAAAGGUUCCGACAUUGCUGCCUACACUUCCCGAUUUGAUGAUCUUUCCCUUCUCUACCCUGGACUAGUCACUCCUGAAAGCAAAAAGAUCGAGAGGUUUUUUUGGGGGUUAACCAAUCCGACCAAAGGUCAUGUUUUAGCUGCUCGCCCAGAUACUUAUGACAGUGCUAAAACUCUAGCCCAAGCUAUAAUUCAUCACAGUGAUGAUAUUGAGGAAGCCACCACUGCUACCCCUGAGUCGACCAAAAGCAGUGGCGAGAAAAGAAAAUUCUGGAAGAAAAAGAAGGGUCAAUCUUCCCAAGGCUCCUCCAAAAGACAACAAACAGUAGCAGUUCAUGCUGCUACUACCCCCGUAGCUGCUGCUUCUGUUGUAGGAUCCACAGCACCAACUCCUACCAACCGAUAUGUUGGUAACCCCCCUCUUUGUGAAAAAUGCAAGUAUCACCACAACCCUGGUCCCUGUCGAAAACUAUCUUGUACCAAUUGUGGUAAGAAGGGGCACACUGUUCGAUACUGCAAAGCUCCGACUCAAUCAGCGAAUCAAUCUUCUGGAACAGGCGUUGGUCAAGCCUGUUAUAACUGUGGUGAAGUCGGGCACUUUAAAAGGAACUGCCCAAAGAAGACUGUUGCUGGCAACACAGGAAGGGUCCUUGCUAUGGGACGAGAAGAAGCAGUUGCCGAUCCCAAUGUUGUCUCGGGUACGUUUCUUCUCGACAACUCGUAUGCUAAUAUUCUUUUCGAUUCGGGCGCUGAAAGAAGUUUUAUUAGUCAUGCAUUUAAACAUAACCUAAAACAUGAUUCUCGACCUCUAACCGAAAUGUUUACCGUCGAAAUGGCAAACGGAGAGAANNNNNNNNNNNNNNNNNNNNNNNNNNNNNNNNNNNNNNNNNNNNNNNNNNNNNNNNNNNNNNNNNNNNNNNNNNNNNNNNNNNNNNNNNNNNNNNNNNNNAUGUGCCGGAUAACUAAACCAUACAUUACUCUUAUGAAACAACAAUGAACUUUUAAGAAAAUAUGGGAUUUCUUGGUGUGUGUUAUAUUUUCAGAAACAGAAAGGAAACAUAAACAUUUUCACAAAACAAAACUGCUUAUGAACUCACCAGCGUUAUGCUGAUUUUCAAAUUGCUUGUGUUCUCAGGUCAACGAUAGUACAGGUACCCGAAGACUUACUUGGUUAAGGAUCGUGUGCGUGCAAGGCUCGUUCAUUUUGUUUAUAUCUAUAUUAUGUAUCACAACUGUAUAAACUGUGUCUUUUGAAACAAAUUGUAAAACUUUUAAUAUGUAAUGUAAUGUUUGUUUCACUUUACUUACUAUGUACAUUGGAUUUGAUACUCAACGUGGAGUCAACCCCGGAAAUGUUUCCGCCUUCGGUUUACGGGGUGUGAUAGAUUGGUAUCAGAGCCCUUGUUUAUAGUGAAUAAAGUAUACCAAACCUUACAUGGUAUAAAACUAUAAACACUAAAAGGGCCUAAGUGCUCUGAAAUAAAAGUAUCUUCAGACUACAAGUAUUUUCAAAAAUAUACAAGUAUACCGAACCGUCGAGAUUCGUAUCUAUAAGUAGAACAAAACAUAAGUAAAUGGGUGUUGUGUAUUGCAGUUAAACCUGGGCAGUUAUGUAGUCGUGUCUAGGGUCAAUAUAGCCUGGCCAACUAUAUUCAUUCGAGAC
RNAcentral lists this long non-coding RNA (3135 nucleotides) under Lactuca sativa (garden lettuce). Its description in RNAcentral is "long non-coding RNA (LSAT_LNC004120)". Lineage: Eukaryota; Viridiplantae; Streptophyta; Magnoliopsida; Asterales; Asteraceae. The record is from RNAcentral.